UAGUUGAGGCUCAAUAAAUGGUGUAUAGUGUGGUCCCCCAAGUCUUCGGUCAAUAGAGUCUCUUGGUUGGAGACUUCAAAUUGAAUCCAUGUAUGGGCCAAAGUGGCAGUUGUUCGGAGGCGGGAUUUGUAUACCCUGCACUGAAGCUUUGUAGGUGAAGCAUUGCAAGGGAAGCUUUGAAGUUGGAGCUCUGUAAAUGAAGCUUUUGAAGCUAGAGCUCUGUAAAUGAAGCUUUUGAAGCUAGUGCUUUUGUAAAUGAAGCUUUUGAAGCUAGAGCUCUGUAAAUGAAGCUUUUGAAGCUAGAGCUCUGUAAAUGAAGCUUUUAAAGCUAGAGCUCUGUAAAUGAAACUUUUGAAGCUAGAGCUUUGUAAAUGAAGCUUUUGAAGUUGAUUGACAUGAGUAAUGCUCAUGAAUGUUUAUGUUGAUUGACAUGAGUGAUGCUCAUGGAUGUUGUCAUGAGUGAUGCUCAUGAAUGUUGACAUGAGAGUGAUGCUCAUGAAUGUUUAUGUAUGAUUGAUUUGAGUGAUCCUCAUGAAUGUUUAUGUAAGAUUGAUAUGAGUGAUGCUCAUGAAUGUUUAUGUAUGAUUGACAUGAGUAAUGCUCAUGUAUAAUUUGAAGUACUGGGCGUACUUUUGAUCACUUG
RNAcentral lists this long non-coding RNA (643 nucleotides) under Malus domestica (apple). Its description in RNAcentral is "long non-coding RNA (MDOM_LNC000466)". Lineage: Eukaryota; Viridiplantae; Streptophyta; Magnoliopsida; Rosales; Rosaceae. The record is from RNAcentral.